CCUCAAUAAACUGAGAACGCAGAGAGGUUCAUGUCCUUUAUCCAUCGAUGUCGAUACUCUCUCUCUUUUCCCUGUAUCAGUAGCAAUAGCAGUAGCCUUCCCAAAGCCACCGCCGCCACCACCACCACCACCUCCUUCAAUUCAAAUUCAAAUUCAAAUUCAAUCCCAACUCUCCUCAGAGCUUGCAAGACCUCUCUCCACCUCCACCAACUUCACGCCCACAUCAUCCGUAAAGGCCUCGAGCAAGACCACUUUCUCUUCACCCUUUUCAUUUCCCUCUCCACUCUUUCCUAUUCCACUUCCGUCUUCAACUGCGUUCGCAGACCCAUUACGUUCCUCUGGAACUCUCUCAUUAGAGUUUAUUCUCUAAAAAACUCUCAUUUCAUCCACAUUGUUUCACUCUUCAUUCGCAUGAAGAGAGAGGGUGAUGUACCUGACUGCUACACCUACCCAUCAGUCAUUAAAGCGUGUUCCACCCAGUGUGAGGUUAGCCUAGGGAGUGCCCUUUUUGGGUCAGCAUUGAGGUGCGGGGUUGAACGGGAUCUCUUUGUCAGGACUAGUUUGAUUGACUUCUAUGGGAAAUGUAAACAUAUUUUCAGUGCUCGUGAGCUGUUCGAUGAUAUGUCUGGCAGAAAUGUCGUUUCAUGGACGGCUAUGGUUGUUAGGUAUAGAACUGUUGGGGAUUUAGAAGAGCAAAGAGGUUGUUCAAUGAAAUGCCGCAGAAGAAUGUGGCGUCCUGGAAUGCUAUCAUUUGUGGCCUUGUGAAACUGGGUGACUUGAAGGGUGCGAGGAUGAUGUUUGAUGAAAUGCCCGAGAGGAAUGUGGUUUUGUAUACUACCAUGAUUGAUGGGUAUGCAAAGGCAGGUGAUAUGGCGUCUGUGAGGUUUCUGUUUGAGCAGGUGCCUCAAAGGGAUAUUUCUGCGUGGUCCGCAUUGAUAUCGGGUUAUGCUCAAAGUGGUCAGCCUAAUGAAGCGGUGAAAGCUUUCCUUGAAAUGGAUUCAAGGGAUGUAAAGCCCGAUGAGUUUGUUAUGGUGAGCUUGAUGUCUGCUUGAUCUCAAAUUGGUAAUUUGGAAUUGGCUAAAUGGGUUGAUUCUUAUGUGAGCCGGAGCACAAUGGAUACUCAACAACCUCAUGUAGCUGCGGCUCUUGUUGACAUGAAUGCCAAGUGUGGAAACAUGGAGCAAGCAACGAAGUUGUUUGAAGAGAUGCCCAAAAAGGACCUAAUCUCGUAUUGUUCCAUGAUACAAGGGUUGUCAUAUCAUGGGCAUGGGAACAAAGCUGUUGAACUUUUCAAUAAGAUAAUAAAUGAAGGGCUGGUUAUGAGGUGGCCUUCACCAUCAUCUUGUCAGCAUGUAGUCAUGCCGGAUUCGUUGAAGAGGGUUGGCACUAUUUUGAAAGGAUGAGAUAUGAGUACUCUUUACUUCCUUCUCCUGAUCACUAUGCUUGUAUGGUUGAUCUUCUUAGCGGGGCAGGAAGAUUGAAAGAAGCUUAUGAGCUUCUAAACUCAAUGCCUGUGGAGCCACAUGCUGGUGCUUGGGGUGCACUUCUUGGGGCUUGUAAGUUGCAUUGCAAUAUUGAAUUAGGGGAGGUUAUUGCUGCUCGCCUUCUUGAGCUUGAGCCACAUAAUGCUGGUAAUUAUGUGUCUUUGUCCAACAUCUAUGCAGCAGCAGAUCGGUGGUCAGAUGUUUAUCUUGUGAGGGAAAAGAUGAAUGAAAGAGGAGUUAGGAAAAUAACUGGUCACAGUUGCAUUAAUUCAUGAGAAUUAGUUUCAUCAUAUGACUGAUUCACCAUUCAUCAAUACCAUGAUUUUGAGGCUGCCAUAUUGGUGUGAAGUGUUGAUCCUAUUGGAAGAGCCUUUCCAUCAAUUAAAUAAAGAAAAAAGAAGUGCAAGGGCUGAUUGAUUUCAAAGUCCUGUUAUCCCAACCACAAAGAAUUGCAGCGGCAGGUUUCUGCCAGAAAAAAACUGAAAUCCUCCUCUCCCGUGGUCACUGGGAGAAGCUGCACAUGGAUUGUUUAAUGGUUUUGUAUGUGUUGCUGCUUUAUAACAUGAUCACAAAUGAGCUGGUUGGUUUCAGUUAGACUCCGAUCUGUGCCAUUCCAGAUUUGGUCCAGUAAGUAUCAACUAAACAUUAACUACUAUAAUGAAUGUGUAAAAUUUUUACUAUUUUAUUUUGUGACCAGGAAGGGGUUUUUGAUGUGGCUUUCUGUUAGCACUGCUAACUUGUAGUUGAGCUCAUUAUAGCAAUUGAUCAGUCCAGUGAUUUUGUUGUGGUCCCUACUUGCUCUUUUAACCAAUAAAUAUAUUAUCCAUGAAAUUGUUAGUAUGUGGAACUUGAUUAUUCUACAGGGUAAGUGUUGGCCCACCUUUUCAUGACUUAAGAUUGGAAGACUAAUCGUAACCACUUCUUACAUGAAUCAGUCUUGGACAUUUUUCUUUGUACUCAUUUGUUGAUGAAUUCAAUUUGACAUGGUUCCUUUGGCUUUCAAUUCACUGGUUUACUUUGUGGAUUGACCACUCCCUGCCACUAAAAUGAAACAGUAACAGGUUAAGAGUUUUAGUUGUCUAAUAAGCCAAUAUUGUGGGAAUACCAAACUACUCUAUUAAAAGAAGUACUGUAGCAGAUUCUUGACUUUGAAAUGAGAUUUCUUUCUGCUUUGGGGAGAAAGAAAGAAAAUUUUCAUAGAUAUGUAGACUGUAUGUGACUUCUUGUUUCUGUUUUGACCAUGUGUUGUUUCUUUGUAAUGUACCUAUACCUCAUGUAUAUUCAACCCAAUGAAGCCUUUAAAUUGUAAUCCUUGUAUCUCAAAGUAAUUUAUAAAUUUUAAGCUUUCUACUGAGUUAAGCAAUAUCACAUUUGUCGAUUUCAUAGGUGGAUGAAGGUUCAGCUGCUAUUUGGACCAUGAAUCACAAUAGUAUCUUAAUAAAGUGGGGCCACUAGAGGAGUCAGUCAUAUUAUGCUACCGUCUCUUAAGUACAUAUUUUUUUGACUGAUGAAUCAGAAUGCAAAAGUUUAUCUGCUAGUGAAGCUAUAUCGCAUUUGUCGAUUUCAUAGGGGUAUGAAGGUUCAGCUGCUAUUUAGGACCAUGAAUCACAAUAGUAUCUUAAUAAAGUGGGGCCACUAGAGGAGUCAGUCAUAUUAUGCUACCGUCUCUUAAGUACAUAUUUUUUUGAUUGAUGAAUCAGAAUGCAAAAGUUUAUCUGCUAGUGAGUGUUCAUUUUGACAUCCAUCGCCUUUCAUUUGAACAAAAUCUUUUAGUUCUCCUACUCAUACCUGAGCAUCUACUGUCCAGCCUCAAAAGCAUUUUUUGAAAUCUGGAUCAAAUAGUUCUCUGUCUCCUAG
Molecule: RNA transcript, 3341 nt
Organism: Quercus lobata
Lineage: Eukaryota; Viridiplantae; Streptophyta; Magnoliopsida; Fagales; Fagaceae
Gene name: putative pentatricopeptide repeat-containing protein At5g37570
Exons: 2
Source: RefSeq, a predicted model, not a curated record